AGGAGUUGGCGCGGUGGUCGCGGGCCGGGCAACCGGCCUGAGGAAAGUCCGGGCUCCCCAACGAGCGGAUUGCUGGGUAACGCCCAGUGCGCGCGAGCGUGAGGAUAGUGCCACAGAAACAUACCGCCGAUGGGAGUGGCAACACUCCACAGGCAAGGGUGCAAAGGUGCGGUAAGAGCGCACCAGCGACAUCGAGAGGUGUCGGCUCGGUAAACCCCGUCCUGAGCAAGGCGGGGGACAGAUGGGUUGCUCGUUGACCGUCCCCCAAAAGCCGCUUGAGGCGUCAGGCAACUGGCGUCCCAGACAGAUGACCGCCCUUCGAACAGAACCCGGCUUACGUCCGGCUCCUCCAC
RNAcentral lists this RNase P RNA (353 nucleotides) under Gloeobacter kilaueensis JS1. Its description in RNAcentral is "bacterial RNase P class A". It matches the Rfam family "Bacterial RNase P class A". From Rfam's summary of the family: Ribonuclease P (RNase P) is a ubiquitous endoribonuclease, found in archaea, bacteria and eukarya as well as chloroplasts and mitochondria. Its best characterised activity is the generation of mature 5'-ends of tRNAs by cleaving the 5'-leader elements of precursor-tRNAs. Lineage: Bacteria; Bacillati; Cyanobacteriota; Cyanophyceae; Gloeobacterales; Gloeobacteraceae. The record is from RNAcentral.